Long non-coding RNA from Dicentrarchus labrax (European seabass), 931 nucleotides. RefSeq lists it as uncharacterized. Lineage: Eukaryota; Metazoa; Chordata; Actinopteri; Moronidae. The record is from RefSeq and is a predicted model, not a curated record. The transcript has 2 exons.
CGUGGUGAACUGGAUGAUUUCUAGGGUGUGCUUAGUCAAGUCACACACAGAGAGCUGUGGUCUACAAGCUACAGCACGUCAUCCUGUCAGUCAGCCCAUGCCCUCACGCAGAGCUAUAUAAAUAGCAGGAGGCUAUCUUUGAGAGCUCAUACCACUUCUGCAUCCUCCUCCGUCUCUCUCUUCCUGCCACAAGGCUUCCAAAUUUCAAAACUGUCACUAAACAGUGUGACUCUCACUGCAAGAUCUGCACACUGCUUCAGCGGAGAGUGAAGGUCAAGAUACACUGAAGUGAUGAUCUUGACGUUUUGUGCCUCAUCGACAGCUGCAGGCCAAUCUCCAACAUGUUUGAGCAGUCUGUGUUUAUCUUUCUGAGCGCAGGCAGAGUGACACAGCUCAGUUCAUGACUCAGAUGGGUGGUUUUUUUUUCCAUGAUGAGCAAAAUCCAUGACUGCCUUGAUGUAUUAUUGUUUCAUGAAUAGAGUUUGUGAUAAGGAAAAAAACAACUUUUAAAAAGUGUACACACAAGAAGGCAGAAUGUAAUUUUGAUAUGAUAUUUCUUGUUUAUGUCAGUCUUUUCACUUAGAAUUUAAAGGUUCAGUUCACCCAAAAACAAACAAAACCAUAUUUUCUCUCUUACUUCUAGUUUUGGUUUUAUUUGUCCAGGUUUUGAAAUCAGUACCUUCUUAAAACCCAUUUUUAUAGACUCGCUUUUAAUAAUAUUAUUGCUUUUAUUCUCUCUCAGUUCUGUAUUCAUUUAUAUUUAAUUUAAUUUUUUAAUGGCUACCGCUUUUACUGUCCUUAUCUUACCAUACCCUACCAUGUUUGUUUUUUCUUCUUCUUGUUCUUUAUUUCUGUUCUGCCUGUUCUUUGGUUCUCUGUUGUUGUAUUGUCCUGUUCUUUCUUUGUCUAUUAAAGCACAUUGUAAACUCUG